GGCGGGGUAGCUCAGUCUGGCAGAGCAGUCGGCUCAUACCCGGCGUGUCAUAGGUUCAAAUCCUAUCCCCGCUACCA
RNAcentral lists this transfer RNA (77 nucleotides) under Candidatus Omnitrophota bacterium. RNAcentral's name for it is "Candidatus Omnitrophica bacterium tRNA-Met". It matches the Rfam family "tRNA". From Rfam's summary of the family: Transfer RNA (tRNA) molecules are approximately 80 nucleotides in length. Their secondary structure includes four short double-helical elements and three loops (D, anti-codon, and T loops). Lineage: Bacteria; Pseudomonadati; Candidatus Omnitrophota. The record is from RNAcentral.